Molecule: ribosomal RNA, 421 nt
Filed under: Microsporidia sp. clade III
Lineage: Eukaryota; Fungi; Microsporidia
Description: SSU rRNA
Rfam family: Eukaryotic small subunit ribosomal RNA
Source: RNAcentral
CCUCUGCCUGGAUAGUGGGGGGCACUACGUGGGUAGUGCGGCCUCUCUUGCAGGGACUGACUGCAUCUAGCAGUCGGAAGUUGGAGGCAAUAACAGGUCUGUGAUGCCCUUAGAUGUUCUGGGCUGCACGCGCGCUACACUGACAAAGGCAGCGAGUAUGCCUUGGCCGAGAGGUCUGGGAAAUCUUGUGAAACUUUGUCGUGCUGGGGAUAGAUCAUUGCAAUUAUUGGUCUUGAACGAGGAAUUCCUAGUAAGCGCCAGUCAUUAGCUGGCGCUGAUUACGUCCCUGCCCUUUGUACACACCGCCCGUCGCUACUACCGAUUGGAUGUGUUAGUGAGGUCUUCCAAAGAAAACGCACUCCGUCAGGAGGGCGUUUUCUGUAGUUGAACAAACUUGCACAUCUAGAGGAAGUAAAAGUCG